RNAcentral lists this ribosomal RNA (322 nucleotides) under uncultured eukaryote. RNAcentral describes it as "partial 18S ribosomal RNA". It matches the Rfam family "Eukaryotic small subunit ribosomal RNA", at positions 1470 to 1796 of the family's 1831-position model. The record is from RNAcentral.
CCCUUAGAUGUUCUGGGCCGCACGCGUGCUACACUGAGUGGAUCAGCGGGUCAGGUUGCGCGAAAGUGUUUCCUACUCUUUAAAUCCGCUCGUGAUGGGGAUUGACGGUUGCAAUUUUCCGUCAUGAACGAGGAAUACCUUGUAAGCGCGGGUCAUCAUCCCGCGCUGAAUACGUCCCUGCCCUUUGUACACACCGCCCGUCGCUCCUACCGAUUGAGUGGUCCGGUGAGGCUUUGGGAUCUGAGCGGAAAGAGCGUUUCGCUGUUUCUGCCCGGAAAACUCAGUCGAACCUUAUCAUUUAGAGGAAGGAGAAGUCGUAACA